Molecule: small RNA, 107 nt
Filed under: Marmota monax (woodchuck)
Lineage: Eukaryota; Metazoa; Chordata; Mammalia; Rodentia; Sciuridae
Source: RNAcentral
GCUGGACAUGGUGGAGCAUGCCUGUAAUCCUAGCUACUUGGAAGGCUGAAACAGGAGGAUUGCAAGGUCAAGGCCAGCCUGCGCAGCUUGGUGAGACCCUGUCUCAA